GGGCGGGUGGCGAAAUUGGUAGACGCACCACACUCAAAAUGUGGCGAUGAAAGUCGUGAGAGUUCGAGUCUCUCUCCGCCCA
Molecule: transfer RNA, 82 nt
Organism: Limnoraphis robusta CS-951
Lineage: Bacteria; Bacillati; Cyanobacteriota; Cyanophyceae; Oscillatoriales; Sirenicapillariaceae
Rfam family: tRNA
About the family: Transfer RNA (tRNA) molecules are approximately 80 nucleotides in length. Their secondary structure includes four short double-helical elements and three loops (D, anti-codon, and T loops).
Source: Rfam